This 500-nucleotide ribosomal RNA is filed under the name uncultured bacterium. RNAcentral's name for it is "partial 16S ribosomal RNA". It matches the Rfam family "Bacterial small subunit ribosomal RNA", at positions 30 to 523 of the family's 1533-position model. The record is from RNAcentral.
AUUGAACGCUGGCGGCAUGCCUUACACAUGCAAGUCGAACGGUAACAGGGUGCUUGCACCGCUGACGAGUGGCGAACGGGUGAGUAAUGCGUCGGAACGUGCCGAGUAGUGGGGGAUAACGCAGCGAAAGUUGUGCUAAUACCGCAUACGUACUGAGGUAGAAAGUGGGGGACCUUCGGGCCUCACGCUAUUCGAGCGGCCGACGUCUGAUUAGCUAGUAGGUGAGGUAAAGGCUCACCUAGGCGACGAUCAGUAGCGGGUCUGAGAGGAUGAUCCGCCACACUGGGACUGAGACACGGCCCAGACUCCUACGGGAGGCAGCAGUGGGGAAUUUUGGACAAUGGGCGAAAGCCUGAUCCAGCCAUGCCGCGUGUCUGAAGAAGGCCUUCGGGUUGUAAAGGACUUUUGUCAGGGAGGAAAAGGUCCUGGUUAAUACCCGGGGCUCAUGACGGUACCGUAAGAAUAAGCCCCGGCUAACUUCGUGCCAGCCGCCGCCGUAA